CGUUCGGAAGGCACACCGAGACAACCCUGUAGGCAACGUCGCUGCCCCGAGGCGGCCAUCUCAGGCCGCCUCAACGGUGGUGUGCUGGCUUUAGUGGUUCCUUAGUGGUUCCUGGUGGCAAGCUACCACAGGAUGACCCCGGUACUUCGCUCAAGGCGGCCCCGUUUCGGUAGUGCAACCGGCUGUCUCGCGGUUUCUCCCUCCACCAGGCAAGGCAGGUCCUGCAGCACUCCAUCUGCGACGGGGAGAGGUUCUGGUUCAUCGGCGUUCCAUCGGCGACAAGUAUUAAGUGGCCAGGUGGCAGUCCUCAGCAAAGACAGCAGAUACCAAGCGGGAGCUCACAAUGUGACGAUCGCCCAGUUGCAUCUCCGAACUUCAGCAGACUUCCCAGUGCGGGUAGCUGGAGGCGCAAUAGGGAAUAGCACGUCAGUCCCUGACCCCGCCGGAAGACCAUGGCGUCGUUCACGAUCGCCGUGAAACUGCAGCCGAGCAACACAUCAGCCCUUGGCACACCAGCGAGACAUCGAGAGAUGCCAUCUGCCUAGAGGAGCUGACUCGGCCACCGGGUGUUCCAUGGCUGUGUUCGCGCAUGCGCCCGACGUCUCCUUUACCGCGGAGGGCCACGCAGAGAAGCCACCGAGUCCAGCCAAGGUACAAGGGCGAGGCCAGCCGGUCGUCGGCCACGAAAGCCACAGUGGAGAGCGCACAGGCUUCAGUGGCCACGGGGCUCCACGCCGUGAAUUCGACCAUGCAUCAGGAGUGCUUAGGCCACGCUGUCAUCAGUCCCUGCCUUGCCGCGAGAUUGUGUGUUUAAAGGGACGAACUGUAGGACGCAGUUCUUCACAUCCUUGCUUUGUUGGCGGCAUAUUCAUGCGUGACUUGUGCGUUUAUCUCCUGAACCGACCAUAUCUCGCGCCAAUUUUUGAUUGUAGUAUAUUUAUGCACGCAUAUUCAUUUCGCCGGGUACUUAUUUCUUGAUUUAUGCGUAAAUUUUUUCGUUGAUAUUGCUUCUUUUAAUUUUUGUGUUGUAAUUGAUUCGUUAUGAAGAGUUCCGGUAGGUUUUCUUAAUAGUUCCGGAAGGUUUGCCGACAACCAUCAAGAAAGACCAGAUAUAGCUGGAGAUUUAUCAGUAGCGACUUCUGAUCGCGCCUAUUUCGGAAUCUAGACAAUUUAAGCGUACAUAUUAAUUUUGUACGCUAUGUAUCUAUCAAUUUAUGCGUUACUAACUCUGUUAUUAUUUAUCGUUUUGAAUUUCUGCGUAUAAUUGAUUUAUUUGACUGGAAGGUUUGCGAAAGAGUUCCGGUAGGCUUGCCUAAAAGUUCAGGAACGUUUGCUAUCAUGUUAUUUCACCUCGCGACCUUCCAAACAACCAUGAACAAAAGCCACACACUGCUUCAGAUUUAUCAGUAGCAACUAUGGUUCGCGCCUAUUCCGUAAUAUAGUCUAUUUAGGUGCACAUAUUCACUUUGUCGGCAACGUAUCUAUCGAUUUAUGCGUUAAUAUUUUCAUUAAUAUUUAUCGUUUGAAUUUCUACCUUAUAAUUUAAUGGUUUCCGAGAGUUUCCGAUGGUUUGCCAAUAUUUGCUUUCUGCUAGCGAUCUUCCAAACAACCAUUAACAAAAGCCAAAUGCCUCAAAAGGAUAUUGCAUUAGAUCAAUCUCUUAUAAGCGCGCACAUUGCGAACCGCAGCCGAUUCGUACGAAGCUAUUGUGUUGCGUUCUCCCCCUUAAAACGAUCGUUCGCAUCUACUCUAAAUUGUACCGUAAUUUCUCAUGUAUACUGUUGCUAUAUGUACAGUUGAAUGUAAGUGUUAAUAUAGUUAUUUAUUAUAAUUUACAAGUCUGAGUUAUAAUUGCAAGGAGAUCUGGAAGGUUUGGUUGCUGGGGACAACUGACAUUUUGAGAUAGCGACUUUCGAAACAAAUAUUAACAAACGUUAGACGGUCCCUUACAAAGAGCCUUCGUAUAGGUUCAUUGUAUGUCAAUGAAAUGAUCCGGCCUCCUCUGAGUUGAAUUCAUGCGCAUGUUUGCGUACAUGACUUUUCAGACGUAUUUGUGGACAAGAACUUUCUGUGCGACAAUGUUGUUGUGCACACAUGGACUUGCGGGCACCUCAUUUUACAGUCGGUGCAAAACGUCGUGUGAUAAGGAAAUGCGAUUUUUCUUUUUGCCAAGAAGGGCGCGUAUAUAAGGAAACCAGGCUGCAGUGGUUCGUGGUAUUACCGGGACACCUUCGUAUGGAAGAAGAUUUCGCCUAUUGGUCAUAGGGUGUCGAACUGAAAAGCAAAUGCAGCAAUCAGCGUCACUUGGUGUAAAAUUUUGAAACUGAGCUCUAGUACACCUGUUAAUAAAGCUAUUCAAGAGAG
This is a long non-coding RNA of Dermacentor andersoni, 2364 nucleotides long. RefSeq lists it as uncharacterized. Lineage: Eukaryota; Metazoa; Arthropoda; Arachnida; Ixodida; Ixodidae. The record is from RefSeq and is a predicted model, not a curated record.